RNAcentral lists this ribosomal RNA (255 nucleotides) under uncultured bacterium. Its description in RNAcentral is "partial 16S ribosomal RNA". It matches the Rfam family "Bacterial small subunit ribosomal RNA", at positions 524 to 776 of the family's 1533-position model. The record is from RNAcentral.
UACGUAGGGUGCAAGCGUUGUCCGGAAUUAUUGGGCGUAAAGAGCUCGUAGGCGGUCUGUCGCGUCUGCUGUGAAAACUCACAGCUUAACUCUGGGCGUGCGGUCGAUACGGGCAUCACUGGAGUUCGGCAGGGGGAGACUGGAAUUCCUGGUGUAGCGGUGAAAUGCGCAGAUAUCAGGAGGAACACCGGUGGCGAAGGCGGGUCUCUGGGCCGAUACUGACGCUGAGGAGCGAAAGCAUGGGUAGCGAACAGG